This 459-nucleotide ribosomal RNA is filed under the name uncultured bacterium. RNAcentral's name for it is "partial 16S ribosomal RNA". It matches the Rfam family "Bacterial small subunit ribosomal RNA", at positions 339 to 795 of the family's 1533-position model. The record is from RNAcentral.
CUGCGGGAGGCAGCAGUAAGGAAUAUUGGUCAAUGGACGAAAGUCUGAACCAGCCAUGCCGCGUGAAGGAUUAAGGUCCUCUGGAUUGUAAACUUCUUUUAUAUGGGACGAAAAAAGGUCUUUCUAGAUCACUUGACGGUACCAUAUGAAUAAGCACCGGCUAACUCCGUGCCAGCAGCCGCGGUAAUACGGAGGGUGCAAGAGUUAUCCGGAUUCACUGGGUUUAAAGGGUGCGUAGGCGGGCAGGUAAGUCAGUGGUGAAAUCCUGGAGCUCAACUCCAGAACUGCCAUUGAUACUAUCUGUCUUGAGUAUUGUGGAGGUAAGCGGAAUAUGUCAUGUAGCGGUGAAAUGCUUAGAUAUGACAUAGAACACCCAUUGCGAAGGCAGCUUACUACGCAUAUAUUGACGCUGAGGCACGAAAGCGUGGGGAUCAAACAGGAUUAGAUACCCGUGUAGUC